GUCCACCUCCCAUCCGUGUCUAUCUGUACCCUGUUGCUUCGGCGUGGCCACGGCCCGCCGGAGACUAACAUUUGAACGCUGUCUGAAGUUUGCAGUCUGAGUUUUUAGUUAAACAAUCGUUAAAACUUUCAACAACGGAUCUCUUGGUUCCGGCAUCGAUGAAGAACGCAGCGAAAUGCGAUAAUUAAUGUGAAUUGCAGAAUUCAGUGAAUCAUCGAGUCUUUGAACGCACAUUGCGCCCCCUGGUAUUCCGGGGGGCAUGCCUGUCCGAGCGUCAUUGCUGCCCUCAAGCACGGCUUGUGUGUUGGGCUUCCGUCCCUGGCAACGGGGACGGGCCCAAAAGGCAGUGGCGGCACCAUGUCUGGUCCUCGAGCGUAUGGGGCUUUGUCACCCGCUCCCGUAGGUCCAGCUGGCAGCUAGCCUCGCAACCAAUCUUUUUAACCAGGUUGACCUCGGAUCAGGUAGGGAUACCCGCUGAACUUAAGCAUAUCAAAAAGCGGA
RNAcentral lists this ribosomal RNA (501 nucleotides) under Aspergillus chevalieri. RNAcentral describes it as "eukaryotic LSU rRNA". The stretch from base 124 to 277 matches the Rfam family "5.8S ribosomal RNA". Lineage: Eukaryota; Fungi; Ascomycota; Eurotiomycetes; Eurotiales; Aspergillaceae. The record is from RNAcentral.